This 346-nucleotide ribosomal RNA is filed under the name uncultured eukaryote. Its description in RNAcentral is "SSU rRNA". It matches the Rfam family "Eukaryotic small subunit ribosomal RNA", at positions 594 to 945 of the family's 1831-position model. The record is from RNAcentral.
AUAGCGUAUAUUAAAGUUGUUGCAGUUAAAAAGCUCGUAGUUGAACUUCGAACGUGGUUGGGCGGUCCGCCUCACGGUGUGUACUGUCUGGCUGGGCCUUACCUCUUGGUGAGCCGGCGUGUCCUUUAUUGGAUGCGUCGGGGAACCAGGACUUUUACCUUGAGAAAAUUAGAGUGUUCAAAGCAGGCCUAUGCCCGAAUACAUUAGCAUGGAAUAAUAAAAUAGGACGUGCGGUUCUAUUUUGUUGGUUUCUAGAGUCGCCGUAAUGAUUAAUAGGGAUAGUUGGGGGCAUUGGUAUUGAGUCGCUAGAGGUGAAAUUCUUGGAUUGACUCAAGACCAACUAUUG